GGAGUAACGCGUAGGUAACCUGCCUCAUAGCGGGGGAGUAACUAUUGGAAACGAUAGCUAAUACCGCAUAAGAGUAAUUAACACAUGUUAGUUAUUUAAAAGGAGCAAUUGCUUCACUGUGAGAUGGACCUGCGUUGUAUUAGCUAGUUGGUGAGGUAAAGGCUCACCAAGGCGACGAUACAUAGCCGACCUGAGAGGGUGAUCGGCCACACUGGGACUGAGACACGGCCCAGACUCCACGGGAGGCAGCAGCC
RNAcentral lists this ribosomal RNA (254 nucleotides) under uncultured Streptococcus sp. RNAcentral describes it as "partial 16S ribosomal RNA". It matches the Rfam family "Bacterial small subunit ribosomal RNA", at positions 107 to 355 of the family's 1533-position model. The record is from RNAcentral. Lineage: Bacteria; Bacillati; Bacillota; Bacilli; Lactobacillales; Streptococcaceae.